GGCUUAGAGUUUGAUCAUGGCUCAGGAUGAACGCUGGCGGCGUGCUUAACACAUGCAAGUCGAACGGAGAGCGUAUGACAGAGGAUUCGUCCAAUGGAUUACGUUUCUUAGUGGCGGACGGGUGAGUAACGCGUGAGGAACCUGCCUCGGAGUGGGGAAUAACACAACGAAAGCUGUGCUAAUACCGCAUGAUGCAGCUGGGUCGCAUGACUCUGGCUGCCAAAGAUUUAUCGCUCUGAGAUGGCCUCGCGUCUGAUUAGCUGGUUGGCGGGGUAACGGCCCACCAAGGCGACGAUCAGUAGCCGGACUGAGAGGUUGGCCGGCCACAUUGGGACUGAGACACGGCCCAGACUCCUACGGGAGGCAGCAGUGGGGAAUAUUGGGCAAUGGGCGCAAGCCUGACCCAGCAACGCCGCGUGAAGGAAGAAGGCCCUCGGGUUGUAAACUUCUUUUGUCAGGGACGAAGCAAGUGACGGUACCUGACGAAUAAGCCACGGCUAACUACGUGCCAGCAGCCGCGGUAAUACGUAGGUGGCAAGCGUUAUCCGGAUUUACUGGGUGUAAAGGGCGUGUAGGCGGGAUUGCAAGUCAGAUGUGAAAACCACGGGCUCAACCUGUGGCCUGCAUUUGAAACUGCAGUUCUUGAGUACUGGAGAGGCAGAUGGAAUUAAGCC
RNAcentral lists this ribosomal RNA (674 nucleotides) under uncultured organism. RNAcentral describes it as "bacterial SSU rRNA". It matches the Rfam family "Bacterial small subunit ribosomal RNA", at positions 1 to 673 of the family's 1533-position model. The record is from RNAcentral.